Molecule: long non-coding RNA, 654 nt
Organism: Rhinichthys klamathensis goyatoka
Lineage: Eukaryota; Metazoa; Chordata; Actinopteri; Cypriniformes; Leuciscidae
Exons: 3
Source: RefSeq, a predicted model, not a curated record
AAUUAAAGUUUGAUGUUUCAUUUUGGACAUUUUUAUCAUGUAAGAUCUAUGUUAAAUAUUUAGACUAAUUGAAAAUGAAUGUUUAGUAUUAUUUUACCGCUCAUGAAAGUGUUUUAUCGCUGUAUGAGUGUGUCUGUGAUGUGUGUCUGUGUCACAUGGGCUAAACCAGCUCUUCUGGUUUCUCAACAGGUUUUUGAAACUUCUGUUGUCGCUGUUUUGCUUUAUCAGUCAUUGUGGAACCACUCCUGUACCUGUGACGGGGGGGAAAGGAGGCGACGUCACACUGACAUGUGAAUCUGAGGCCAGAGAGAUUUCUGCUAUAGCUUUAAGCACUCGGUCAAAAAACAUCCUUGUCUGUGAGAGAGAAGAAUGCGAGAGUGAAAACAGCAGAGUGUUUAAAGAAGGAUCAUGUGACAUCAUCAUCAAGGAUCUGAGAUUCAGUGACGCUGGGAAAUACUUUCUGAGAGUCUACAAUGAUGAUCAGACAGAAGUGGAGCGAGAAACCCUGGAAUACCAACUUCAUAUUCAUGAUGAGAUCUCAGUGAAGAAAGGAGAGGAUCUGAAGUUGGAUGUUGUGUUGAUCAACGCUGAUAAAGUGGAGAGAAACUCUCGCUCCGGCUGGACAGAGGUGUGGAGGAGAGGUCACGGGGUCAG